CAACACGGCUUACACGAACUCUGCUAGACACCACACCUCCCCCACUCGCACGCCCAUACGAGCCGCGUUUGUAGCACCAUAGCUGCAGCGAUGGACGCACGUGCCAGCAUGCGUGCGAUAUUGGAGAGCGCGCGGCAGUCGAUCCGCAAUCGUGCCGCCAAUCCCACCGGCAAGACUGUCCUGAAGAAGGGGCGGACUCUUGAGGAUUCGGCGUCGUCCAGCCGCCACCCCCAACCCACUGUGCAGCCGACGCCCUCCUCCCCCGCCUUGGACGUUGCAGAGGGGCUUCACUUUCAGAAGGAUACGGCUAGUGAUGCGGAUGCGGCCACGGCGGAGGCGACUGCGCUGCAUGCAAAGGAAAAUCAAAUGCGGUUCGUGCGGCACUACCAUCGCCUGCUGCUCGCCUUCAUCGAGGACAAGUCCAAGUACGAGCUGGAGCUGCCGAACCUCUCCUCACUGGACCGUAUGGUUGUCCACGCCUUGGCGGAGAAGUGCAAUCUGUCACACGAGUCCACCGGCGACCGCGCAGAUCGCGUGAUGCACCUCAAGAAGGAUAUUUUGUUCUUCCAGAACCCCGAGGCGGCGAAGCAGGUGAACCUCGACGACAUCAUUGAGCGAGUUUCGUGGAAGGAGAGCAAGUUCCAGAUUCGCUACGUACGGUCGGCGAACCCAGCACAGGUUGCAAUCGGUGACAUCGGAAGCUACGCUGACGAGGACGCUCUCGAGAAGAUCGAGCGGUUUCGCCGUGCCACCGACGAGUACCGACACGCCACGGACAUGGGCUACACCCAACAGGAGCUGCUGCUGGCCGAGGCCGGUAUCAAGGGUGAAGGCGCUGACGCCGCGGACGGGGAGGGCUAUGCGGUCUCUGGGAGACUGGAGGAGAUCUUGAGCCGACCAGACACGUCCUCUACCCCGGCCAUUACGACGGGGCCAGUGCCCGCGGUGACCUCAUCUCCGCCUCCGCCACUGUCGUCAUCGACGUCCACGAUUGCGGCUGCAAUGGCGCGGUCCAAGGCAACGGCGGCGGCCAAUGCUGCUAAAGAGGCCGCGACCGCAACGACGAUUUACUACGAUGAGGUGUGCCGAACGUGCGGCUCACGAGCGCGGCUGGGUGGAUCACCGCAAGGAUGGAGGUGCAGCCACUACUGCGCGCAUUGCACCCGUCAGUCCAUUUGGUGCUUGGAGGAAGUGCCGAUCAAGGGGGAACCGGCGAAGCACCACAAGCGAAGGCGCGACAGGGCGUCGUCGGCCGAGGAUGGAGGCGAGAGUGGCCGCCGGCGGCGUGGCGAGCCGGCCGUGGAGGAGAUCGAUCGCGAGGAGGGUGAGGACGACGACGCUGUCCGGCACUCCGGCUCGCGAAGUCGCGGCAGCAGCGGUGAAGAGGACGCGGACGAGGCCCUCACUUCGGAGGACGUGGUGGAGAUGGCGGCGACGAAUGACUUUAGUGCCAAGGACAUGAACUGGUUGCGCGAGUUUGCCUCACGUGGGACGGCACAUGUGGCUGACCAGAUCGCCUUCUGCAUCGACUUUGGUGACCUUACCGAGGCACGCGUGUUCCGCCGCUACGGCGGCGCAGCGGCACCGUCGGAGGAUGCAUGCUGGUAUGUUGUUCUUCGUGAAGUACGAGAGCUGUCCUUGACGGUGUCGGACCUCGUGCGGGAGCUGUUGAACGAGACCUUCGUGGACCUGUCGUCGGCUGCUGCACAAGAUGGCGACGAGAGAACCACAUCGGCUCCCGCAGUGGAGGCCAUUCACACGGAGGAAGCGGAGGAGCGCGCGAUGGACCACCUCGGCAUCGCCUUUCCGAACCUCUCCGUGUACGGCACCGACUGCGUGGCGGUGUGCCAGCUACGUCCUGCCGUGCGAUGGGCCUCCGUGCCCCGGCUGCCCAUUCGUGAGGAGGCCCUUCAUCACCUGCGGCAGCGCUACGGCGCACGGCACGUGUUCCCGACGCAGUCGCUCGAGGAGGCGGUGCGACGCGCUGCCGAGUCUGAUUCGCCCUCCUCCUGAACAGGAGGGACGCGUUUGCUUUCGAAGCACCUGCUGAUGGACUCGUCGUUCUUCUCACUCUUCGCCACUCGCACUCGAAAUUCAG
RNAcentral lists this unclassified non-coding RNA (2098 nucleotides) under Leishmania donovani. RNAcentral describes it as "gene:LdHU3.28.3670(CDS-product:R3H_domain_contain ing_protein_putative)". The record is from RNAcentral. Lineage: Eukaryota; Euglenozoa; Kinetoplastea; Trypanosomatida; Trypanosomatidae.